RNAcentral lists this long non-coding RNA (207 nucleotides) under Homo sapiens (human). RNAcentral's name for it is "ADAPT21". Lineage: Eukaryota; Metazoa; Chordata; Mammalia; Primates; Hominidae. The record is from RNAcentral.
GUUACCCAAAGCUCGGCGUCUGUGAUGGUCUAGGGGGCUUCCGAGGCGAUCGGGCAGUGUCAGUCUUCAGCCGCUAAGCCGAGCGCAGAGAUAAGAGGUUGGGGUGCGGAAAUAAGCGAUUGGGGGAGGGAAGGCUGCCUUCCCAGUCCGUGACCGGCGCCAGAGUUUUGGGUCCACGGAUAAAACGUGUCUCCUUUGUCUCUACCA